GACCAACGCUGGCGGCGUGCUUAACACAUGCAAGUCGAACGGAAAGGCCCUGCUUUUGUGGGGUGCUCGAGUGGCGAACGGGUGAGUAACACGUGAGUAACCUGCCCUUGACUUUGGGAUAACUUCAGGAAACUGGGGCUAAUACCGGAUAGGAGCUCCUGCUGCAUGGUGGGGGUUGGAAAGUUUCGGCGGUUGGGGCUGGACUCGCGGCUUAUCGGCUUGUUGGUGGGGUAGUGGCUUACCAAGGCUUUGACGGGUAGCCGGCCUGAGAGGGUGACCGGCCACAUGGGGCCUGAGAUACGGCCCAGACUCCUACGGGCGGCAGCAGUGGGGAAUAUUGCACAAUGGGCGGAAGCCUGAUGCAGCAACGCCGCGUGCGGGAUGACGGCCUUCGGGUUGUAAACCGCUUUCGCCUGUGACGAAGCGUGAGUGACGGUAAUGGGUAAAGAAGCACCGGCUAACUACGUG
This 468-nucleotide ribosomal RNA is filed under the name uncultured bacterium. RNAcentral's name for it is "partial 16S ribosomal RNA". It matches the Rfam family "Bacterial small subunit ribosomal RNA", at positions 28 to 507 of the family's 1533-position model. The record is from RNAcentral.